UACGAAGGGGGCUAGCGUUGUUCGGAAUUACUGGGCGUAAAGCGCGCGCAGGCGGUCUUCCAAGUCAGUGGUGAAAGCCCGGAGCUCAACUCCGGAACUGCCAUUGAAACUGUUGGACUAGAGUAUGAGAGAGGUGAGUGGAAUUCCCAGUGUAGAGGUGAAAUUCGUAGAUAUUAGGAAGAACACCGGUGGCGAAGGCGACCCACUGGACCGGUACUGACGCUGAGGUGCGAAAGCGUGGGGAGCAAACAGG
RNAcentral lists this ribosomal RNA (253 nucleotides) under uncultured bacterium. Its description in RNAcentral is "partial 16S ribosomal RNA". It matches the Rfam family "Bacterial small subunit ribosomal RNA", at positions 524 to 776 of the family's 1533-position model. The record is from RNAcentral.